This 254-nucleotide ribosomal RNA is filed under the name uncultured Lactobacillus sp. RNAcentral describes it as "partial 16S ribosomal RNA". It matches the Rfam family "Bacterial small subunit ribosomal RNA", at positions 109 to 354 of the family's 1533-position model. The record is from RNAcentral. Lineage: Bacteria; Bacillati; Bacillota; Bacilli; Lactobacillales; Lactobacillaceae.
AGUAACACGUGGGGAACCUGCCCCAUAGUCUGGGAUACCACUUGGAAACAGGUGCUAAUACCGGAUAAGAAAGCGGAUCGCAUGAUCAGCUUUUAAAAGGCGGCGUAAGCUGUCGCUAUGGGAUGGCCCCGCGGUGCAUUAGCUAGUUGGUAAGGUAAAGGCUUACCAAGGCGAUGAUGCAUAGCCGAGUUGAGAGACUGAUCGGCCACAUUGGGACGGAGACACGGCCCAAACUCCUACGGGAGGCAGCAGAU